Molecule: ribosomal RNA, 752 nt
Filed under: uncultured Mycoplasma sp.
Lineage: Bacteria; Bacillati; Mycoplasmatota; Mollicutes; Mycoplasmatales; Mycoplasmataceae
Description: bacterial SSU rRNA
Rfam family: Bacterial small subunit ribosomal RNA
Source: RNAcentral
GAUGAACGAUGGCUGUGUGCCUAAUACAUGCAUGUCGAGCGGAUGUAGCAAUACUUAGCGGCGAAUGGGUGAGUAACACGUGCUUAAUCUACCUCUUAGAUUGGAAUACCUAAUGGAAACAUUGGUUAAUGCCGGAUACGCAUGGAGUCGCAUGACUCCGUUGUGAAAGGGGCCUUUAAAGCUCCACUAAGAGAUGAGGGUGCGGAACAUUAGCUAGUUGGUGAGGUAACGGCCCACCAAGGCUAUGAUGCUUAGCCGGGUCGAGAGACUGAACGGCCACAUUGGGACUGAGAUACGGCCCAAACUCCUACGGGAGGCAGCAGUAGGGAAUAUUCCACAAUGAGCGAAAGCUUGAUGGAGCGACACAGCGUGCACGAUGGAGGUCUUAUGGAUUGUAAAGUGCUGUUGCAAGGGAAGAAAAAGUAGUUGAGGAAAUGCUUCUACAUUGACGGUACCUUGUUAGAAAGCGAUGGCUAACUAUGUGCCAGCAGCCGCGGUAAUACAUAGGUCGCAAGCGUUAUCCGGAAUUAUUGGGCGUAAAGCGUUCGUAGGCUGUUUAUUAAGUCUGGAGUCAAAUCCCAGGGCUCAACUCUGUAUUGCGUUGGAAACUGUGUAACUAGAGUACUGGAGAGGUAAGCGGAACUACAAGUGUAGAGGUGAAAUUCGUAGAUAUUUGUAGGAAUGCCGAUGGGGAAGCCAGCUUACUGGACAGAUACUGACGCUGAAGCGCGAAAGCGUGGGUAGCGAACAGG